UACGUAGGGUGCAAGCGUUAAUCGGAAUUACUGGGCGUAAAGCGUGCGCAGGCGGUUGUGCAAGACCGAUGUGAAAUCCCCGGGCUUAACCUGGGAAUGGCAUUGGUGACUGCACGGCUAGAGUGUGUCAGAGGGGGGUAGAAUUCCACGUGUAGCAGUGAAAUGCGUAGAGAUGUGGAGGAACACCGAUGGCGAAGGCAGCCCCCUGGGACCUGACUGACGCUCAUGUACGAAAGCGUGGGGAGCAAACAGG
This 253-nucleotide ribosomal RNA is filed under the name uncultured bacterium. RNAcentral's name for it is "partial 16S ribosomal RNA". It matches the Rfam family "Bacterial small subunit ribosomal RNA", at positions 524 to 776 of the family's 1533-position model. The record is from RNAcentral.